Molecule: non-coding RNA, 21 nt
Filed under: Caenorhabditis elegans
Lineage: Eukaryota; Metazoa; Nematoda; Chromadorea; Rhabditida; Rhabditidae
Source: RNAcentral
UUGAAGAACAGCGCUCUUUAA